GUGGGGAAUAUUGGACAAUGGGCGCAAGCCUGAUCCAGCAAUGCCGCGUGGGUGAAGAAGGUCUUCGGAUCGUAAAGCCCUUUCGACAGGGACGAUGAUGACGGUACCUGUAGAAGAAGCCCCGGCUAACUUCGUGCCAGCAGCCGCGGUAAUACGAAGGGGGCUAGCGUUACUCGGAAUUACUGGGCGUAAAGGGCGCGUAGGCGGCUCUGUUAGUCAGGCGUGAAAUUCCUGGGCUUAACCUGGGGACUGCGCUUGAUACUGCAGGGCUUGAGGCCGAGAGAGGGUGGUGGAAUUCCCAGUGUAGAGGUGAAAUUCGUAGAUAUUGGGAAGAACACCGGUGGCGAAGGCGACUCACUGGCCCAAUACUGACGCUGAGGCGCGAAAGCGUGGGGAGCAAACAGGAUUAGAAACCCCGGUAGUCC
Molecule: ribosomal RNA, 425 nt
Filed under: uncultured bacterium
Lineage: Bacteria
Description: partial 16S ribosomal RNA
Rfam family: Bacterial small subunit ribosomal RNA
Source: RNAcentral